GACGAAGGGGGCUAGCGUUGUUCGGAAUUACUGGGCGUAAAGCGCGUGUAGGCGGUUGCCAAAGUCGGGUGUGAAAGCCUUGAGCUUAACUCAAGAAAUGCACUCGAUACUUGGUGACUAGAGGACCGGAGAGGAUAGUGGAAUUCCCAGUGUAGUGGUGAAAUACGUAGAGAUUGGGAAGAACACCAGUGGCGAAGGCGGCUAUCUGGACGGUUUCUGACGCUAAGACGCGAAAGCGUGGGGAG
RNAcentral lists this ribosomal RNA (245 nucleotides) under uncultured bacterium. RNAcentral's name for it is "partial 16S ribosomal RNA". It matches the Rfam family "Bacterial small subunit ribosomal RNA", at positions 524 to 768 of the family's 1533-position model. The record is from RNAcentral.